Molecule: ribosomal RNA, 497 nt
Filed under: uncultured bacterium
Lineage: Bacteria
Description: partial 16S ribosomal RNA
Rfam family: Bacterial small subunit ribosomal RNA
Source: RNAcentral
GAUGAACGCUGGCGGCGUGCCUAAUACAUGCAAGUCGAGCGAACGGACGAGAAGCUUGCUUCUCUGAUGUUAGCGGCGGACGGGUGAGUAACACGUGGAUAACCUACCUAUAAGACUGGGAUAACUUCGGGAAACCGGAGCUAAUACCGGAUAAUAUUUUGAACCGCAUGGUUCAAAAGUAAAAGACGGUCUUGCUGUCACUUAUAGAUGGAUCCGCGCUGCAUUAGCUAGUUGGUAAGGUAACGGCUUACCAAGGCAACGAUGCAUAGCCGACCUGAGAGGGUGAUCGGCCACACUGGAACUGAGCCACGGUCCAGACUCCUACGGGAGGCAGCAGUAGGGAAUCUUCCGCAAUGGGCGAAAGCCUGACGGAGCAACGCCGCGUGAGUGAUGAAGGUCUUCGGAUCGUAAAACUCUGUUAAUAGGGAAGAACAUAUGUGUAAGUAACUGUGCACAUCUUGACGGUACCUAAUCAGAAAGCCACGGCUAACUACGUG